Molecule: long non-coding RNA, 1370 nt
Organism: Drosophila pseudoobscura
Lineage: Eukaryota; Metazoa; Arthropoda; Insecta; Diptera; Drosophilidae
Exons: 3
Source: RefSeq, a predicted model, not a curated record
UUCAGAAUUUAUUAUUUAGAGUACGGACAAAUAUAGUGAUUCUCGAGUCGUGUAUGGCUGGUAUUCCAAGUUGAAGACUAAGCAAGUCUAUUACGAUGGUCCUAAGGCUUCACCUGUUUGACCUUGGAGAUAUCAUUUUUUGCCGAAACUGAUGUGGCAUGCUCAAGGAGACUUUUAUUAUUUUCUCCAUUAUCGGCCAGUUCUGUUGCCAUUUUUCUUUUCAGCCAUGAUCCUGCAUCACUGCAGGAUGUAGUCGUGGUCGUGCCAUUUGAUUACCUGAAGCACUAACCACACAGUAUACCAAGUAGCCAGUCAGCACAGAUCGUGAACAUUAAAGAACAUUAAACAUUAAAGAUCGUGCAAGAGACCAGACAGAUGGCCUAUUGAAAUACACCCCACGCUUCUUCUUUCCUCUACAGGUACAGACGGCGGCCAUAAUUAAUGUUGCGUCCAGGUCUUUAAGCAAAGAAUCCGAGUUAUUGUGUCCCUGGCUUCCAAAUCAGACAUACGGAUGUACAAGGAUGUCACAAGCCUUCAAGCUAAUUUUAAAGACUUCACAUCAAAUCAAUGCGAUUUGGCUAUGGUUAUUCCAAAUUCUGGAAAUUACUUUGACGAACUAAAACUACUGCGGAGUUGGAAUGUGGCACAACGUUCAACGGAACUGCAAUGCACAGGCUGAUACGCGCACGUUGAUGAAAAACAUGACCUGGGUGCCUUGGAGGAUGGAGUCAAUUCCCAAAGAUCAAGAACGAGGAGCAAAGGGGAAUCUCUGUGGCCUGUGCUAAGAGGGGCUUUAAGCCGAAAACAAGCUGAAUUUUAUUGGUCAAACGUCCUCACAAGCGGUUCGUACCGAGUGCUCCCCACACAGGACAAUAAAUGUAAUAGCUUUGAGCCAGAGACCUCCGUUGAUCGCACAAUAGUGCAUCCCAAUAACGUGCAGUAGUUCGAGGUCAAUCACCAGCUCAUUCAGGGUGCACCUAGGCCUGAGAACACAGGUAACAAGCAGAUGUCUGAUUGAACAUAGCCACGCCGGAAAUCCCGUUGCGCGAAGCGCAAGAAGCCGAAGUGAAAAUAAACCUGAGAAUUUCAUGCGCCAUAAAAGUAGCAUUUAGAAAAAAAGACAAAAAAAAUAUUACAAAUUGGCUUAAUGGGACCGGGAAACCCCCAAGCGAACCCAACAUGGAUCUGAAGAAGCCUCAAUGGUGACGAAGUUCCGAGUUGCGUUCCACGAUCCUCAACCGCUGCCGAUGCCCAGCCAAGCAAAGAAGUUUUAGAGCUUAGAGUUUUGAAAAGCGCACUGAUACUAUUUGGGACAUACACAUAGUAACAUACAGAAAUCUGACCAAUAAAUGUUACCAACGUUCAGUACA